UACAGAGGGCUCGAGCGUUGUUCGGAUUCAUUGGGCGUAAAGGGUGCGUAGGUGGCGCCGUAAGUCGGGUGUGAAAUUUCGGAGCUUAACUCCGAAACUGCAUUCGAUACUGCGGUGCUUGAGGACUGGAGAGGAGACUGGAAUUCAUGGUGUAGCAGUGAAAUGCGUAGAGAUCAUGAGGAAGACCAGUGGCGAAGGCGGGUCUCUGGACAGUUCCUGACACUGAGGCACGAAGGCCAGGGGAGCAAACGGG
RNAcentral lists this ribosomal RNA (253 nucleotides) under uncultured bacterium. Its description in RNAcentral is "partial 16S ribosomal RNA". It matches the Rfam family "Bacterial small subunit ribosomal RNA", at positions 524 to 776 of the family's 1533-position model. The record is from RNAcentral.